UAAGUCGAUAUUUUACUUUGCGGCGCCGGCUGGUUUCCCAUUUUCACCGCCCAUAUAUAUAUAUAUAUGGGGAAAGUGAGGGUGGUGCUGUUCAGCACCUAGCUUAGGUGAAAUACUAUCUAAAACGACGUCGUUUCAUAUUAAAAAAAAAAAAUAAAAAUUUCCACCCACUUUAUUGUUUUGCCUCUUCUUCCAUCUUCUCAGUUCUCAUUGAAUCCACCUGUACUCUUCAAACUCAUUCUCUUAAUCCAUAAUUUUUCUCCAUCUUCUUCUAAUCUUCUCCCAUCAUCGACCUCUCUUAAUCAUCUUUUUCAAUCUGUAGGUUGAUUAUAUUGAAAAGAUAUCAGACCCCAUUGUUGGAUGAGAUCAAUGAAGUUAAUGACGAUGACAAAGAAGAUGGACAUGAAUGAGAAAUAGAAGGAGGCAUUAGUUCGGCUGAAUUUCAAGACAUUAUUAGUUAACUAGCUCAACUUAGCAAUGUAAUAAACACUUAUGUACUUCAAUUUUUUCAAUAAUAGAGAUUAUUCAUUA
Molecule: long non-coding RNA, 531 nt
Organism: Erigeron canadensis
Lineage: Eukaryota; Viridiplantae; Streptophyta; Magnoliopsida; Asterales; Asteraceae
Exons: 2
Source: RefSeq, a predicted model, not a curated record